GACGAACGCUGGCGGCGUGCCUAAUACAUGCAAGUAGAACGCACAGUUUAUACCGUAGCUUGCUACACCAUAAACUGUGAGUUGCGAACGGGUGAGUAACGCGUAGGUAACCUGCCUGGUAGCGGGGGAUAACUAUUGGAAACGAUAGCUAAUACCGCAUAAUAUUAAUUAUUGCAUGAUAAUUGAUUGAAAGAUGCAAUUGCAUCACUACCAGAUGGACCUGCGUUGUAUUAGCUAGUAUGUGAGGUAACGGCUCACCUAGGCGACGAUACAUAGCCGACCUGAGAGGGUGAUCGGCCACACUGGGACUGAGACACGGCCCAGACUCCUACGGGAGGCAGCAGUAGGGAAUCUUCGGCAAUGGACGAAAGUCUGACCGAGCAACGCCGCGUGAGUGAAGAAGGUUUUCGGAUCGUAAAGCUCUGUUGUAAGAGAAGAACGGGUGUGAGAGUGGAAAGUUCACACUGUGACGGUAUCUUACCAGAAAGGGACGGCUAACUACGUG
RNAcentral lists this ribosomal RNA (505 nucleotides) under uncultured bacterium. Its description in RNAcentral is "partial 16S ribosomal RNA". It matches the Rfam family "Bacterial small subunit ribosomal RNA", at positions 28 to 507 of the family's 1533-position model. The record is from RNAcentral.